AUGCUCAAAGGAAAGGAGCUGCAGCAGUUUACUGCAAGAUACUUAGCAAAUAGAUAUUUGGAAAAAUUCAGGGCAGAUGAUAAAAUGUCUCUUCAGGACUUUGCAAGGAUAGUGCGGCUUGAUUUCAAUAUGACCACAAUAAGGAGCAAACUUUCAAGAGCAAGAAGGAUUGCACUAAAGCAAAUAAAAGGAGAUGAACUGAAGCAAUAUGACAUGCUAUGGGACUAUGCAGAAGAAAUAAGAACAACUAAUCCUGGGAGCAGCAUGUUUCUAACAGUUAAGGAUGGGAAGUUUGAGAGCCUAUACAUGUCAUUGUAUGCUGCCAAAAGAGGGUUUUUAGCUAGUUGUAGACCUGUCAUAUGCAUUGAUGGGUGUCACCUAAAGACUAGAUAUGGGGGAAUUAUGUUGACUGCUGUUGGAAAUGAUCCCAAUGAUUGUAUCUUCCCUAUUGCCAUAGGUGUAGUAGAAGUUAAGGACAAGAACACAUGGAUGUGGUUUUUGAACACAUUAAAAGAGGAACUUCUCAUACGCAACACUGCCCCAUGGACACUGAUGAGUGAUAGACAAAAUGUAUCUUAG
Molecule: ribosomal RNA, 579 nt
Filed under: Triticum aestivum (bread wheat)
Lineage: Eukaryota; Viridiplantae; Streptophyta; Magnoliopsida; Poales; Poaceae
Description: partial small subunit ribosomal RNA
Source: RNAcentral